AUUGAACGCUGGCGGCAGGCCUAACACAUGCAAGUCGAGCGGAUGAAGGGAGCUUGCUCCUGGAUUCAGCGGCGGACGGGUGAGUAAUGCCUAGGAAUCUGCCUGGUAGUGGGGGAUAACGUCCGGAAACGGGCGCUAAUACCGCAUACGUCCUGAGGGAGAAAGUGGGGGAUCUUCGGACCUCACGCUAUCAGAUGAGCCUAGGUCGGAUUAGCUAGUUGGUGGGGUAAAGGCCUACCAAGGCGACGAUCCGUAACUGGGCUGAGAGGAUGAUCAGUCACACUGGAACUGAGACACGGUCCAGACUCCUACGGGAGGCAGCAGUGGGGAAUAUUGGACAAUGGGCGAAAGCCUGAUCCAGCCAUGCCGCGUGUGUGAAGAAGGUCUUCGGAUUGUAAAGCACUUUAAGUUGGGAGGAAGGGCAGUAAGUUAAUACCUUGAUGUUUUGACGUUACCAACAGAAUAAGCACCGGCUAACUUCGUG
RNAcentral lists this ribosomal RNA (484 nucleotides) under uncultured bacterium. RNAcentral describes it as "partial 16S ribosomal RNA". It matches the Rfam family "Bacterial small subunit ribosomal RNA", at positions 30 to 507 of the family's 1533-position model. The record is from RNAcentral.